RNAcentral lists this ribosomal RNA (365 nucleotides) under uncultured eukaryote. RNAcentral describes it as "partial 18S ribosomal RNA". It matches the Rfam family "Eukaryotic small subunit ribosomal RNA", at positions 592 to 976 of the family's 1831-position model. The record is from RNAcentral.
CAAUAGCGUAUAUUUAAGUUGUUGCAGUUAAAAAGCUCGUAGUCGGAUUUUGGCUGAGAACGAACGGUCCGCCGUUAGGUGUGCACUGUUUGGUCUCAGCUUCCUGGUGAGGAGGUGUGCUUCACGGCCACUUAGUCACCGUGGUUACUUUGAAAAAAUUAGAGUGUUCAAAGCGGGCUUACGCUUGAAUACAUUAGCAUGGAAUAACACCAUAGGACUCCUGUCCUAUUUCGUUGGUCUCGGGACGGGAGUAAUGAUUAAGAGGAACAGUUGGGGGCAUUCGUAUUUCAUUGUCAGAGGUGAAAUUCCUGGAUUUAUGAAAGACGAACUUCUGCGAAAGCAUUUGCCAAGGAUGUUUUCAUUGA